Molecule: ribosomal RNA, 738 nt
Filed under: Triticum aestivum (bread wheat)
Lineage: Eukaryota; Viridiplantae; Streptophyta; Magnoliopsida; Poales; Poaceae
Description: partial small subunit ribosomal RNA
Source: RNAcentral
AUGCACGAGAUGGCGCCGUCCAAGCCCGCCGCCGCCUUGCUCCUCGCCUUGGCCGUCCUGCUCGCGGCCGCGCAGCCGUCGUCCGCCAUCAGAGUCAAGCCCGCGUGCUCCCCGGUUGUUAUUCCAUCGCCACCUCCCCCCGCAGCUUCCCCACCGCCGCCGCCGACCCCGGUGAUCAGCAACCCGCCCCCAUCCGUCCCUGCUUCCCCGCCGCCACCGACCCCAGUGAUCAGCAACCCACCGCCAUCCGUCCCUGCUUCCCCACCGCCACCGACCCCAGUGAUCAGCAACCCACCGCCAUCCGUCCCUGCUUCCCCGCCGCCAGCGAGCCCAGUGAUCAGCAACCCAACUCCAUCCGUCCCUGCUUCCCCACCGCCGGCCACGGUCUCACCAGCUACCCCGCCGUCGCAGCCCACGGAGUGCCUGACGCCGUUGAUGGGGCUGACGCCAUGCAUGGGCUACCUCACCAACACCGGCGUGGCGACGCCCCCGGCGGCGUGCUGCGGCGCCUUCAAGUCCCUGGUGGACAACGCCCCCAUCUGCCUCUGCCACGGCCUGAACGGUGACAUCAACAAGAUCAUGCCCGCGCCCAUGGACUUCAUGCGCAUGAUGUCGCUCCCCGGAAACUGCGCCGUCCCGCUGCCAAUGCAGACGAUUGCCCAGUGCGCCACGGCAUCUGUGCCACCACUGGACCCUCCUACCGCCCCAGCAGCCCCAUCCCCAAAGCCAUCACUGUAG